GACGAACGCUGGCGGCGUGCUUAACACAUGCAAGUCGAACGAUGAUCUCCCGCUUGCGGGGGUGAUUAGUGGCGAACGGGUGAGUAAUACGUGAGUAACCUGCCCUUGACUCUGGGAUAAGCCUGGGAAACCGGGUCUAAUACUGGAUACUACUUCCUGCCGCAUGGUGGGGGGUGGAAAGGGUUCUACUGGUUUUGGAUGGGCUCACGGCCUAUCAGCUUGUUGGUGGAGUAAUGGCUCACCAAGGCGACGACGGGUAGCCGGCCUGAGGGGGUGACCGGCCACACUGGGACUGAGACACGGCCCAGACUCCUACGGGAGGCAGCAGGGGGGAAUAUUGCACAAUGGGCGGAAGCCUGAUGCAGCGACGCCGCGGGAGGGAUGACGGCCUUCGUGUUGUAAAACUCUUUCAGCAGGGAAGAAGCCACAAGUGACGGUACCUGCAGAAGAAGCGCCGGCUAACUACGUG
Molecule: ribosomal RNA, 469 nt
Filed under: uncultured bacterium
Lineage: Bacteria
Description: partial 16S ribosomal RNA
Rfam family: Bacterial small subunit ribosomal RNA
Source: RNAcentral